CAGAGUAGGUUCUUUUGCGUCAAGUGCUGCCAAAAUGGGGAGUUGUUUGGCAGACGAAGGUUCAUGCCGCGGUAAGAGAAUCGCACCCGCUG
RNAcentral lists this non-coding RNA (92 nucleotides) under bovine gut metagenome. RNAcentral describes it as "THF riboswitch". It matches the Rfam family "THF (Tetrahydrofolate) riboswitch aptamer". From Rfam's summary of the family: THF riboswitch presents a pseudoknot that joins P1-P2 and the loop of P3 and two THF binding. The record is from RNAcentral.